RNAcentral lists this ribosomal RNA (292 nucleotides) under uncultured bacterium. RNAcentral describes it as "partial 16S ribosomal RNA". It matches the Rfam family "Bacterial small subunit ribosomal RNA", at positions 505 to 796 of the family's 1533-position model. The record is from RNAcentral.
GUGUCAGCCGCCGCGGUAAAACGUAGGACGCGAGCGUUAUCCGGAGUUACUGGGCGUAAAGGGCGGGCAGGCGGCCUGGCAAGAUGGGCGUGAAAUCUCCCGGCUCAACCGGGAGGGGCCGCUCGUGACUGCGAGGCUGGAGGGUGACAGAGGCGCGUGGAAUUCCGGGUGGAGUGGUGAAAUGCGUAGAGAUCCGGAGGAACACCAGAGGCGAAGGCGGCGCGCUGGGUCACAACUGACGCUGAACCGCGAAAGCCAGGGCAGCGAACGGGAUUAGAUACCCCCGUAGUCC